Molecule: ribosomal RNA, 614 nt
Filed under: Aspergillus foetidus
Lineage: Eukaryota; Fungi; Ascomycota; Eurotiomycetes; Eurotiales; Aspergillaceae
Also listed under: 1 other name
Description: partial 28S ribosomal RNA
Rfam family: Eukaryotic large subunit ribosomal RNA
Source: RNAcentral
UUGACCUCGGAUCAGGUAGGGAUACCCGCUGAACUUAAGCAUAUCAAUAAGCGGAGGAAAAGAAACCAACCGGGAUUGCCUCAGUAACGGCGAGUGAAGCGGCAAGAGCUCAAAUUUGAAAGCUGGCUCCUUCGGAGUCCGCAUUGUAAUUUGCAGAGGAUGCUUUGGGUGCGGCCCCCGUCUAAGUGCCCUGGAACGGGCCGUCAGAGAGGGUGAGAAUCCCGUCUUGGGCGGGGUGUCCGUGCCCGUGUAAAGCUCCUUCGACGAGUCGAGUUGUUUGGGAAUGCAGCUCUAAAUGGGUGGUAAAUUUCAUCUAAAGCUAAAUACUGGCCGGAGACCGAUAGCGCACAAGUAGAGUGAUCGAAAGAUGAAAAGCACUUUGAAAAGAGAGUUAAACAGCACGUGAAAUUGUUGAAAGGGAAGCGCUUGCGACCAGACUCGCCCGCGGGGUUCAGCCGGCAUUCGUGCCGGUGUACUUCCCCGUGGGCGGGCCAGCGUCGGUUUGGGCGGCCGGUCAAAGGCCCCUGGAAUGUAGUACCCUCCGGGGUACCUUAUAGCCAGGGGUGCAAUGCGGCCAGCCUGGACCGAGGAACGCGCUUCGGCACGGACGCUGG